This is an RNA transcript of Cercocebus atys (sooty mangabey), 1106 nucleotides long. It is a transcript of the gene named zinc finger CCHC-type and RNA-binding motif-containing protein 1-like, with no coding region annotated. The transcript has 2 exons. Lineage: Eukaryota; Metazoa; Chordata; Mammalia; Primates; Cercopithecidae. The record is from RefSeq and is a predicted model, not a curated record.
CCCCCUUCAAUAAAAAAGUCAUCUAACUUUCCUAACAUGCUGAGGUAGAAAAACUUUCAGUGAAGAAAAGGAAUAGUAGCAGCAGUAAUAAUAAUAGCAAACACAUGUUUACUGGAUUUGAGCCUUAGAGGAAUGAUAUGGCCUAGAGAUUAAAAUGUGAGUCAUCUGUAUGGGGGUGAUAUUUGAAGUCACGUACAUAAUUGAGGGUGUCUGAAGAGUUAUAUGAGAAGAGAGCAAUCCUAGGACUGAGUCCUAAGGAACUGAAUCACUGAAUGGCCAGGAAGAAAAAGAGGAGUGUAAAAAUGAGUCCCAGGACUCGUGACGCCAAGGCUGCUGCGAGCGGCUAUGAAGAGUCGGGGUUGAGGUGGGGUUGAGCCCCAAAUGAGCCGAGGGCUCGCACUCUUCUGGUCUCCCAGGACCGCCCCACCUGAAGAAAUGAGUGGUGGAUUGGCUCCAAGUAAGAGCACAGUGUAUGUAUCCAGCUUGCCCUUUCCCUGACAAUGACCUGUAGCGGAUAUUUUCCAACUAUGGCAAAGUUGUAAAGGUUACCAUAAUGAAAGAUAAAGAUAUCAGGAAGAGUAAAGGGGUUGCAUUUAUUGUAUUUUUGCAUAAACACGGCACAAAACUGUACCAGGGCAAUACACAACAGUUAUUUAGUAGAGUGAUAAAAGCAAGCAUUGGCUGAGAGCAUGCUAUUGACAAUGGAAGAGCAGCUGUGUUCAUCCAAAGGCGAAACUACUUUGAAAAUCCAAGUGUUAUGAAUGUGGGGAAAGUGGACAUUUAAGUUAUGCCUGUCCAAAAUAUGCUUGGAGAACGUGGGCCUCCAAAGAAGAAAGAAAAAAAGAAAAAAAAGAAAAGUUCUGAAUCAGAAGAAAUUGAGGAAGUAGAAGAAAGUAAAGAUGAAGGGGAGAAUCCUGCUCUUGACAGCCUGAGUGUCAGGCCACAGCAUUCCAGCAGCCAAAAUUGAAGAACAAGAUGAUCAAGAUGCCCAAGGAUAAAGAAAAGCACAUAUUUCCGUGAUGAGGAAGAAACUUAGUGAUUAAAAUCUUGCCCUAGCACAGAUAAUAAAAAUUAAGAUUUGUUAGUAACAAUCUUGCAUGAUUGAU